Molecule: ribosomal RNA, 492 nt
Filed under: uncultured bacterium
Lineage: Bacteria
Description: partial 16S ribosomal RNA
Rfam family: Bacterial small subunit ribosomal RNA
Source: RNAcentral
AGUGAACGCUGGCGGUAGGCCUAACACAUGCAAGUCGAACGGCAGCACAGUAAGAGCUUGCUCUUACGGGUGGCGAGUGGCGGACGGGUGAGGAAUACAUCGGAAUCUACUUUUUCGUGGGGGAUAACGUAGGGAAACUUACGCUAAUACCGCAUACGACCUACGGGUGAAAGCAGGGGAUCUUCGGACCUUGCGUGAUUGAAUGAGCCGAUGUCGGAUUAGCUAGUUGGCGGGGUAAAGGCCCACCAAGGCGACGAUCCGUAGCUGGUCUGAGAGGAUGAUCAGCCACACUGGAACUGAGACACGGUCCAGACUCCUACGGGAGGCAGCAGUGGGGAAUAUUGGACAAUGGGCGAAAGCCUGAUCCAGCCAUACCGCGUGGGUGAAGAAGGCCUUCGGGUUGUAAAGCCCUUUUGUUGGGAAAGAAAAGCAGCAGGUUAAUACCCCGCUGUUCUGACGGUACCCAAAGAAUAAGCACCGGCUAACUUCGUG